UACGUAGGGGGCAAGCGUUAUCCGGAUUUACUGGGUGUAAAGGGAGCGUAGACGGUGAUGUAAGUCAGAUGUGAAAGCCCGGGGCUCAACCCCGGGACUGCAUUUGAAACUAUGUUGCUAGAGUGCAGGAGAGGUAAGUGGAAUUCCUAGUGUAGCGGUGAAAUGCGUAGAUAUUAGGAGGAACACCAGUGGCGAAGGCGGCUUACUGGACUGUAACUGACGUGAGGCUCGAAAGCGUGGGGAGCAAACAGG
This 252-nucleotide ribosomal RNA is filed under the name uncultured bacterium. RNAcentral describes it as "partial 16S ribosomal RNA". It matches the Rfam family "Bacterial small subunit ribosomal RNA", at positions 524 to 776 of the family's 1533-position model. The record is from RNAcentral.